GACGAACGCUGGCGGCGUGCUUAACACAUGCAAGUCGAACGGAAAGGCCCUGCUGUUGUGGGGUGCUCGAGUGGCGAACGGGUGAGUAACACGUGAGUAACCUGCCCUUGACUUUGGGAUAACUUCAGGAAACUGGGGCUAAUACCGGAUAGGAGCUCCUGCUGCAUGGUGGGGGUUGGAAAGUUUCGGCGGGUGGGGAUGGACUCGCGGCUUGUCAGCUUGUUGGUGGGGUAGUGGCUUACCAAGGCUUUGACGGGUAGCCGGCCUGAGAGGGUGACCGGCCCCAUUGGGACUGGGAUGCGGCCCAGCCUACUACGGGAGGCAGCAGUGGGGAAUAUUGCACUAUGGGCGGGAGCCUGAUGCAGCAACGCCGCGUGCGGGAUAACGGCCUUCCGGUUGUAAACCGCUUUCGCCUGUGACGAAGCGUGAGUGACGGUAAUGGGUAAAGAAACACCGGCUAACUACGUG
RNAcentral lists this ribosomal RNA (468 nucleotides) under uncultured bacterium. RNAcentral's name for it is "partial 16S ribosomal RNA". It matches the Rfam family "Bacterial small subunit ribosomal RNA", at positions 28 to 507 of the family's 1533-position model. The record is from RNAcentral.